UACGUAGGGGGCAAGCGUUGUCCGGAAUCAUUGGGCGUAAAGAGCGCGUAGGCGGCCCUGUAAGUCCGCUGUGAAAGUCAAGGGCUCAACCCUUGAAUGCCGGUGGAUACUGCAGGGCUAGAGUCCGGAAGAGGCGAGUGGAAUUCCUGGUGUAGCGGUGAAAUGCGCAGAUAUCAGGAGGAACACCAAUGGCGAAAGCAGCUCUCUGGGACGGUACUGACGCUGAGACGCGAAAGCGUGGGGAGCGAACAGG
This 253-nucleotide ribosomal RNA is filed under the name uncultured bacterium. RNAcentral's name for it is "partial 16S ribosomal RNA". It matches the Rfam family "Bacterial small subunit ribosomal RNA", at positions 524 to 776 of the family's 1533-position model. The record is from RNAcentral.